GAACAGACGAGGAGCUUGCUCCUCUAACGUUAGCGGCGGACGGGUGAGUAACACGUGGAUAACCUACCUAUAAGACUGGGAUAACUUCGGGAAACCGGAGCUAAUACCGGAUAAUAUAUUGAACCGCAUGGUUCAAUAGUGAAAGACGGUUUUGCUGUCACUUAUAGAUGGAUCCGCGCCGCAUUAGCUAGUUGGUAAGGUAACGGCUUACCAAGGCAACGAUGCGUAGCCGACCUGAGAGGGUGAUCGGCCACACUGGAACUGAGACACGGUCCAGACUCCUACGGGAGGCAGCAGUAGGGAAUCUUCCGCAAUGGGCGAAAGCCUGACGGAGCAACGCCGCGUGAGUGAUGAAGGUCUUCGGAUCGUAAAACUCUGUUAUUAGGGAAGAACAAAUGUGUAAGUAACUAUGCACGUCUUGACGGUACCUAAUCAGAAAGCCACGGCUAACUACGUGCCAGCAGCCGCGGUAAUACGUAGGUGGCAAGCGUUAUCCGGAAUUAUUGGGCGUAAAGCGCGCGUAGGCGGUUUUUUAAGCCUGAUGUGAAAGCCCACGGCUCAACCGUGGAGGGUCAUUGGAAACUGGAAAACUUGAGUGCAGAAGAGGAAAGUGGAAUUCCAUGUGUAGCGGUGAAAUGCGCAGAGAUAUGGAGGAACACCAGUGGCGAAGGCGACUUUCUGGUCUGUAACUGACGCUGAUGUGCGAAAG
RNAcentral lists this ribosomal RNA (709 nucleotides) under uncultured Staphylococcus sp. Its description in RNAcentral is "bacterial SSU rRNA". It matches the Rfam family "Bacterial small subunit ribosomal RNA", at positions 64 to 759 of the family's 1533-position model. Lineage: Bacteria; Bacillati; Bacillota; Bacilli; Caryophanales; Staphylococcaceae. The record is from RNAcentral.